GGGGUUGUAGCUCAGCCCGGGAGAGCACACGGCUGAAGCCCGUGGGUCGCUGGUUCAAAUCCGGCCAACCCCA
This 73-nucleotide transfer RNA is filed under the name Candidatus Aenigmatarchaeota archaeon. RNAcentral's name for it is "tRNA-Phe". It matches the Rfam family "tRNA". From Rfam's summary of the family: Transfer RNA (tRNA) molecules are approximately 80 nucleotides in length. Their secondary structure includes four short double-helical elements and three loops (D, anti-codon, and T loops). Further hydrogen bonds mediate the characteristic L-shaped molecular structure. tRNAs have two regions of fundamental functional importance: the anti-codon, which is responsible for specific mRNA codon recognition, and the 3' end, to which the tRNAs corresponding amino acid is attached (by aminoacyl-tRNA synthetases). tRNAs cope with the degeneracy of the genetic code in two manners: having more than one tRNA (with a specific anti-codon) for a particular amino acid; and 'wobble' base-pairing, i.e. permitting non-standard base-pairing at the 3rd anti-codon position. The record is from RNAcentral. Lineage: Archaea; Nanobdellati; Candidatus Aenigmatarchaeota.